Molecule: long non-coding RNA, 7089 nt
Filed under: Capsicum annuum
Lineage: Eukaryota; Viridiplantae; Streptophyta; Magnoliopsida; Solanales; Solanaceae
Description: long non-coding RNA (CANN_LNC019629)
Source: RNAcentral
CCCAUUUUCAAUUCUGUCCAGCUUUUUUGUUGAACCUCAUGAAGAUAACCCAAAGAUUGAUUACUCAUUAAUAAAACCACCUUAAGUAUUUGGGUCACAGGUGUUCUAGUUGUUGGGUCAUUAUAUUUGGGUCUAUAGUUGUUUUGUACAAAUAGUUAGAUACCCGACUCAUUUGUAAGAAAAUAUCUAGCAUAUAGUACUGUACAGUUUAGAAACGCUUAUCAUUUUUUCAUAAUAGGAAACAUUUCUUCUCUCUCUACCUUUACUCUUCCUUUACUCUUUCAAGCUCAAUAAAGUUUCUAACAUGGUAUCAGAGCCAUAAGCUUAUUCUCUACCUAUUCUUCAUGUGUACUCAAUUUUACCCGGGUUCCAUAGUUCUCAACUGAUUUUUCCUUCUCAGCUUUAUACACCCGUUAGGGUUCCGGUGUCCUCGUCGGAAUCAAUUCCAGCUUUCAUCUUAGCUCUGCACAGUUUUUUAGCCCAAUCUCGGCUUGAUCUAUGCUUGAAGUUGGAUUUGGUGUUCGAAGUGAGGUCACGACGGUGUUUACAUUUCAUUUUGGCUUCCACGACACAGUCUAUUCACUCCUUCAGCUGUGAAAAGGUCUUGUAUUGUUCCUCACCAUCAUUGAAUAUUAUUGUGUUGUGAUUAUCCUUGUCUGGUACGCCUAGAUUUGUAUUGAUAUAGCUCCUACUAUUUUAAAUUCCACUACUUCAAGUGUAGAUCUUGAUGUUGUUUCCGUUGUUAACCCUUCGUCUCCAUUAUACCUCCUUUCAUCUGAUUCCCUCGACACAAUUUUGGUUAUCACGCCUUUUAAUAGCACGGAUUAUGGUAGUUGGCAGCGGGGAAUGUUGUUAGGAUUGUCUUGCAAAAAUAAACUAGGAAUGAUCAAUGGUUCUAUUCCUAAGACUCCUACUACUGAUCCACAGUUUCAGGUGCAAUGAUAUGGUAGUAGCUUGGAUUUUAAACAGUCUAGAUAAGGAAAUUAGAGAAACUGUGAUGUACACGAAAUCUGCUAAGGUUUUGUGUAAGGAAGUUGAGAAUAGAUUUGGUCAAGCUAGUGGUACCAAAAUUUUCCAAAUCAGGAAAGAAAUUUCCUCUAUUUCUCAAGGUUCCUCGAGUGUUGCUUCCUACUUCAAUAUGAUUAAGAAACUCUGGGAUGAGUUGUCUUUCUCCACUACCUAUCCUGAUUGUACUUGUGGGUGUAAGGAUGGUUUUCUAAGGUUAGAAGAGGAGCAAAAGGUUCAUCAGUUUCUCAUGGGACUGAAUGAUUCCUAUUCAACUAUCAGGAGGAACAUCCGUAUGCUAAAACCUCUUCCUGACAUUGAUAGUGUGUAUUCCAUGUUGAUAACUGAUGAGAGCCAGUCUGAACUGCAGACUAAUCUCCCUUCCUUCAACUCUGACUCAGUUGCUUUCUCCAUUGUUAACCAAAGACCUUACAUUCAAAAACCAAGUCCAGAGCCCGGUGGUUUACCUGCCGCGGCUCCCAGAUUUUACAAUUCGAGGAUUAAUUUUGACCAUACUUUCAAAAGAAACACUAUGAUUUGUAGAUAUUGCAAGAAACCUGGGCAUCAAAUUGACAAGUGUUACAAGCUACAUGGAUUUCCUUCUACCACUCUUGUUGGACAACCUAAAUUCAGGAAAUCUGCAGCUUUUGUCCAGGUCUCAGAGUCUCAACAAAUGGGCACAUCGAUUCUCCUCUAUACACUAAUUCCCCUGCUAAUUCUAGCAUUUCCAAGGAACAAUUUGAGCAACUACUAAGUUUCUUCUAGCAGGCUAAAAUCACCAGUCCGUCUUCUCAAGAAAUCACUGCUGGUUCUGCUAACUUUGCAGGUUUGAUUAACAAUUCUGAUCCUAGACUUUGUAGUUUACUUGCAUAAACUUCUCUAAGGUAGACAAUAGUCUGUGGAUCAUAGACUCGGGUGCCACUAAUCAUAUGACAUCCCACUCAUCAUUUCUCUCUAAUAUCACACCUCUCAAUGUUCCAUAUCUUGUGACUCUACCCAAUGGGUAUAAAGUCAAAGUUAUGUGCACCGGCACCCUUACCCUUUCCCCAGAUAUAUCCUGAACUAAUAUGCUAUUAGUUCCCUCAUUUCAAUAUAAUCUGAUUUCUCUUGCUCAGUUAAUUAUCCAGUUGCAUUGUUCAGCUUAUUUUACUUCUCCUGCAUGUAUUUUGCAAGGCCCUUCUCUGAAGUGGCCAGUGGAUCUUGGUAAACUUCAAGGUGGGCUUUACAUCCUGAAUCCUCAUUCAUUUGCAUCAUUCACCUGUUCUUCUACUUCUUUUACUAAUUUAUUUGUAAAUACCAUUACUGCCACUCCAUUUACUGAACAUAAAUAAGAACAGUGCUUUUACUUCUAAUCCUAAUGGUACUAUUUCUUCCUCUGUACUUGAUGUGCAUUGACUACUUCUACUACUUUUCCUACUUUGUCCACAGAUCAUAUUUGGCAUUUACGUUUAGGUCAUAUGCCUUUUAACAAGAUGCUUAAACUACCUUUUUUUUAAUCUAAAGUCUUACCUAAGAAACAAUCUUUUUAAUGCUCCAUUUGUCCCAUGGCUAGGCAGCAAAGAUAACCUUUCCUGAGAGCUCCAUUCAUUCUACUACUCCUUUUCAAUUAAUUUACUUGGAUCUUUGGGGUCCUUAUCAUACACACACUUAUAAUGGUUUCAAAUACUUCCUGACACUAGUGGAUGACUUUACUAGAGCUACUUGGACACAUCUAUUAUCUACCAAGGGUAAUGCCUUCAUCCUCAUCCAAUCUUUCUUCUUCAUGGUUAAAACCCAAUUUAACACCACUAUUUAGACUGUCAGAUCUGACAAUGCCCUUGAAUUGGGGUGUAGUUCAACAGCUUCUACCUUUUUUUCAACCCAUGGAAUCUUGCAUCAAACCUCCUACCCUGACACACCACAACAAAAUGGUCUAGUGGAAAAGAAACACAAACAUCUCCUUGAAACUGCUAGGGCCCUUUUAUUUCAAUCUAAACUUCCAAUUAAGUAUUGGGGAGAAUGUGUACUCACUGCUACCUAUUUAAUAAAUAGGUUUCCAACACCACUUUUGCAUUACAAAUCCCCUUUUGAGUUACUUCAUGGUAUUUCUCCUUCCUUUGCACAUUUAAAAGCUUUUGGAUGCCUAUGUUUUGCUGCUGUCCCUAAACCACAUAGAGAUAAGCUCCAGUCCAGGUCCUACCCCUUAAUUUUUCUUAGGUAUAGUCAUGGCAAGAAAAGUUACAAACUUUUAAGACUCUCUGAUCACAAUAUUUUCCACUUCAGGGAUGUUAUAUUCCAUGAAAAUGUUUUCCUAUUCAUCCUCUGUUUCUUCUCCUUUUUUUCCUCCUGAUCUUUCUCCCGCUAUACCUGAUCAGCCCUCAUAUCCUUCUGUUGUCCCUGCUCCUACCUCUGAUAUCCCUUCUUCUAUUCUUGUUCCUGCUAAAAAAAAAAUCUUUUAGAACUUCUCACACUCCACCUUACCUCAGUGAUUAUGUGUGCAGUUCUGUUUCUAGUUCUAGGGUUGUUUCUCUAUCUUCUGAGACUUGCUUACAAGAACCUCAAUUCUAUCAUCAGGCUGUUUCAAAUCCUGCCUGGCAGGAAGCCAUGAUGAAAGAAUUUAAGGCUUUGGAGAACACUCAUACAUGGGAUAUUGUUCCCUUGCCUGCUGGUAAGAAGGUCAUUCCUUGUAAGUGGGUCUAUAAAAUCAAACAGAGGUCUGAUGGUACUAUUGAACGAUACAAAGCUAGGUCGAUCAUUCGAGGUGAUGCCCAACAAGAAGGUAUAGAUUUUAUAGAAACUUUUUCACCGGUGGUCAAGCUAACCACCAUCAAAUGUUUGUUGUCUGUGGCUGUCAAAAGAAAUUGAAUUGUUCACCAACUUGAUGUGAACAAUGCUUUCCUACAUGGUGAUUUGGAUGAGAAAGUGUUUAUGAAAAUUCAUCCGGGUCUUACUGUUGGUACUAGACUUACUAUUGUGGCUGUUUAUGUGGAUGGCAUUCUCUUGGCUGGUGAUGAUGAAUCUGAGAUCUCUGCUCCCAAACUUUUCCUGGAUGCUAACUUUAGAAUUAAGGACCUUGGCCUUAUUCAUUAUUUCCUUGGUCUGGAGAUUAUUCAUUCUCCUCAGGGCUUCUUGGUCAGUCAACAUAAGUUUGCCUUGAAUCUCUUAACAGAAUUUCACUGUACUAAUGUGAGUCCUGUUGUUUCUCCACUUGACCCUCAUGUUAAGCUCUCUUCUAAUUCUGGAGAUCUGUUACCUGAUCCUUCUGUGUACAGAAAACUUGGAGGGAAAUUAAAUUUCCUCCAACAUACUAAAUCGGACUUGUCUUUCACAGUACAACACCUUCAUCAGUUCAUGACUUCUCCCAGAACUACCCAUCUCACUGCUGCCCAUCAUGUUCUGCGAUACUUAGCUAGUACAUCCCAUUUGGGACUCUUCCUCAGUAACUCAUCUGAUGUUUCUCUCCAAGGCUUUUGUAAUUCAAAUUGGGCCAGCUGUGCUACUACCAGACGAUCUGUUUCUGGUUUUGUGUUAUUUCUUGGAGGUUGCCCUAUAUCUUGAAAAUCCAAGAAGCAGCCCACUAUUGCUUUGUCUACUAUCGAGGCCGAAUACAGAGCCUUAAGACUCUUAGUUGCUGAGAUCACCUGGGUGGUCCGUUUAUUGGCUGACUUGGGUGUUCAUGAUCUUAUUCCUGUAAAUGUAUUACUGAUGGUCUCAUUUCCCUUCACUUCAUCUCCUCUAAUGGUCAACUUGCUGAUAUAUUUACCAAGUCUCUUCUUGGUGUUCCUCAUAAACACUUCAUCUCCAAGCUUGGAAUGGCAAAACCUUCCAGCUUGAAGGAGGCUGUUGAACCUCAUGAAGAUAACCCAAAGAUUGAUUACUCAUUAAUAAAACCACCUUAAGUAUUUGGGUAACAAGUGUUCUAGUUGUUGGGUCAUUAUAUUUGGGCCUAUAGUUGUUUUGUACAAAUAAUUAGAUACUCGACCCAGUUGUAAGGAAAUAUCUAGCAUAUAGUACUGGACAGUUUAGAAACGGUUAUCAUUUUUUCAUAAUAAGAAACAUUUUUUCUCUCUCUACCUUUACUCUUCCUUUACUCUUUCAAGCUUAAUGAAGUUUCAAGAUUAGAUCAGAAAUGGAGAUUGAUUGGCGUUAUAUUCGUUGUUAACAUUUUUGGGCCUAUUUUAAUAGACCUUUUUAGCCACUUUGCAGAUGUAUACCAGCUGUAUAUCAGUUGUAUCUUCAUGUAUACCGGCCUUCAUUUGCAGCGUUUUUCUGUAUAUACGUUGUAUAUCAGUGGAUAAAACUGAUAUCUUCAUUCCUUGCCUUCGUUUACUACUGUAUACCUAUGUAUAGCAGUUCCGUUUAGAUGACUUUGAGGCUUGAACACGAGAUUUGGGGCCUCCUUGACCCAUCGUAGAAAUGUGGGGAAGGACGGUCCCACUGGACUCCCACGAAUUCACAUGCCACAAGAUAAGAUCAAGAAUUAAUAUUCACCCGAAAUAUAAAAUGACGAAUCCAAAUAAAAUAUCAUGAACCAAGAAGACAAAAAUUUAUCUUUCAAGCCAUGUCAAAGUCUAGAAUACACAUUCAAGUUUUGGAAAAGAAAACAAAUUCAAUGAUGAAUAAAGACACUACAUUACAUGAUUUGCAUAUUGAAAUAAGAAAUGAACAAUAAUCCAAACAACUCAAAUAUGUUACGGGUUACAGACACCGAUCUCUAAUCAGGGCUCAUAUGUUGAUUUUUUUAACAAUCAAAAAAGAGAAAACUUAAAGAGGAAUUACUAAAAUCUUAUAGAAAACAAAAUAAGACAAAGAAAAUUCUAAAGAACACACAAGGAAAAUGCACACUAUUUAGCCUACAAUUAUUCACCCUUCUCUUUGACAGAUCAUAAUGGAUUUAUGGGUUCAAAUAUCAUGUCAUGGGACUACAGACAUGUUUUCCUCAUUUCUUUUGGCAUUGAAAGCCGAAGAAACUUAGGAUGUAGUUUCUGUUCACAAUAUCAAGCAAAACAGUGAAAGAAAAUGGUAACAAGUAGUAUCGAACUGAAAACAGGGGAUCAAAAUCCCGAUAAUCAAAGUUUACGCCACAUCUUUGUAAGCCGAUUAGCUGAUACAAGGGCAUUUAAAUCAAAAUAAUAAAUCAAAUCACAAGCAGCGAACACCAUGCGAACACAACAGACUAACAUUCGACUAACGAAAUGAAUCGAAUCACAACAAACACCAUGGUAAGAAAAGACAGUAGGCUAAGACAAACAGGGGUUUUCUGAAGGUAAAACAAAAAUCAUGUAGCUAAAAUAAUGGAUUAAACAAUUAAGACAAGGAUAUUAACUCAAUGUAAUAUUUAUGAACUUUAUCACGAAAAUUUUUACAGCCUUCAAAGCUUCUACAGCAAACAAUCAUAUCUAUGAUUACGGAAGAAAUUGCUAGACUUAAAAAGAAGGAGAAGAAUGAAUACAGAAUUGGAAAAGAAAAAGUGUGCUUACCUUUUCCGGAGCAGCCAACCGAGACGGCGAAUCUACGACGACUUCACCACGUUCUUCGAUUCCAAAACAACAAGAAGAUUAAAAAAGACUGAGCCAAAAUUCUCACAACUCCAGGCUGGGAACUGAGGUCCGAAGCCCUAGCCCAGAGAAAGAAUUUUCAGCCUUAUUUGGUUUCGAAAAAAAAAUCGCUUUGAACAGUGGAUUAAAUAGGUUUAUAUAGAAAUCCAACAAUCUCAAAUCUUGAAUGAUUAACGAUGUGGGAUUGAAAAAUUGGGGGGCAAUUUUGGGAUUUUAAUGAGGAAUCUUCUUGAAAGACAAGGGUAUGAGCUGGAAUCGUACAAUUUCGUACAAAUUGAAAUUUUGAACGUUGGCGGAUGAGACAUUGUUGGACAAUCUGAAUUCGCAAGUUGUACGCCGGGUUGACGGGUUUUGGUGUUGGGUCCCCGGGUUUCUAGGUCGGUUGGAUUGAAGUCGUUGUUUGUUAUUGUCAUCGCUCGUGGCUGGUGGUUUUGGCUGUUGUCGGCUGUUGAUGUUGAAGUUGUACGUUGUUCACUGGUGUUGUAUUAUCGGGUAAAGACUGAAAGGAGAGGAAACUUAGGCCAGGGUUGGGGUUAUUUGGAGAGCG